UAACUCUUCUAAAAUGAAACUGUGUGGUGAAAGUAUUACGGAACAAGAUAUGCUUGAGAAAACUUUUUCUACUUUCCAUGCAAGCAAUGUGCUGUUACAACAACAGUGCAGUGAGAAAGGUUUUAAGACCUAUGCUAAUCUUAUUUCUUUUCUCUUGCUCGCUGAGCAGAACAAUGAAUUAUUGAUGAGAAACAGUCAGAUGAGACCUCUUGGAUCAGCUCCACUACCUGAAGCACACACGAGAGAGGACAAUAAAGAGUCCAACCACGUCCAAGGAAACGGCCAGUAUGGCCGUAGUCGAGACAAGUCGAACGGACGUGGACGCGGUCGAAGAUCCUUUGGCCGCGGGUGAGGAAAUGGUCGAGACCAUGGCUCAUUUGGAUGAUGUCAUGGUCGCGGCCAUGGAUCUUCAUUUAAACCCCAACACUCGACCAAACCAGACGAAUCUGCGUGCCAUAGGUGUGGUAUGAGCAAUCAUUGGGCUAAGACUUGUACGACUCCCAAGCAUCUUGUUGACCUCUAUCAAGAGAGUCUGAAAGGGAAGAAUCCUGAAGCCCAUAUGACAUACCAAGAUGAUGAAAAUGACUUCAAUCAUGAGAAGGACGAUCUUAUGGAUUAUGAAACUUCAGAUUGUCUAAAAGACACUACAAGAAAAAUGGGCUUUGAUAGCAGUGAAGGAUAACAUUUUUUGCCUUUCUGCUAUGGUUGACAUACCUGUUAGUUUUAGAUAGCGUUUGUAUAUUUAGAACCGCUAUGAUAGAACUGUAUAUUUAAAAACGCUAUGCUAGCGUAUUUUUAAUAGCGCAUUAUUAAAAACGCUAUCUUUGACUUUUUAAAUCUCUAAACCCUAAACAAGUUUUAAACCCUAAACUUUAAACAUAACUUCAAAAUCUAACUAUUUUGAUAUCAAAUCUUAAAUUUAACCUCAAAUAUUAAAUAUAAAUUCAAAAAUUAUUUCUUUUUCAAUAAUUAAUCUUAAAUCCCAAUACCUUAAACCUUUAACCCCAAACCCUAUACUCAAACAUUUAUUCUAAACUCAUAACUUUAAAUCUAAAAUCUAAAUUCAAAAAAAAAAAAUCAAACUUAAACUUAAUUCUUCAAAUUAAUUCAAAUUUCUUUUCGAAUUUUAACUUAAAGUCUUAACCUUGAACUCUAAACCUUAUAUACUCAAAUCUUAUAUAUCAUAAUAAACCUCAAACCUUCAAUAUACACAUUUAGUUAUUAAACUAAAUCAUAAAUCACAAAUCUAAUGUUCUCAAAGUUAGACACCAAACUUUGAGCAUACAUUUUUAAAAAUUAAUAUGUUUAAAUUUUAAACCUUUAAACUAAUUUUAUUUACUAUACUCUUGUAUUUUAAACCUUUAAACUAAUUUCAUUUUACAUUUAAAGUAAAUCAUAACUUAUAAAUAAUAUUAAAAUUUUCAGUCUAUUAUUUGAAACAUUGAACCAAACUAUAAUUACAUUAAUUAUAUAUAUUUUUUGGUCGAAAUUAUAUAUAAAUAUUUAACUUAAUUAUUAUAUUAAAUGAAAACAGUUUUUAAUGGAUUAAUUUUGGCCUUUGAUUGAUUUCAAUCCAAUGGCCACAAAUAUGUUUGAUUUAUCUUUUUUCUUCUUUCUCAUUGGUCAAUAUCUUAAUCACAAGGAUAGCAAUCUUAACCAUUGAAUAUUUUUGAUCCUAUGGCUAGAAAUCACACAUCUCAUAUCUUAUAUCUCAAUCUCUUUCUUCUUGUCUCACGUUAUCUCUCUCUCUCUCUUUUUUUGUUACAGAUCUAAAUAUGAUCUCAUAUCUUUUUUAAUUCUUUGGAUCUCUAUCUUCCUCAAUCACCACCACCACAACCACCCGUUUGUUUUCGCCGUCCCAGCAUCACAACCACCACCACACGACCGCUCGUUCGCCGUCCAAGCAUCACCACCACCACACAACCACGGGAUGGAGGAAGCAAGGCAAGGCAGGUAUGGCGGCUAGAGGAGGAAGAUGACGGCUUCAGAUUCAGGAAGAGGAAGCUGACGGCGAGUUGGUGAGGAGGCGACGAGAUUAGGUCUAGAUGGAUGUGACGUUUGCCUCCUCUCUGCAACUUGCAUCUCAAAUCCCAGGAUGAAGAAGAAGAAUCAUGGCUGGAAAAACACGAAGACGAAGGUGGUGGUGCGGCCGGUAGAUGAAGAAGACAACGAAGUGGUGGUGUGUUUAGUUAGUAAUUAGGUUAAAGUCUAGUUUAGUUUUUGGUUUAUUUAGUUUGUUGGUUUAUUAUUUAAUUAGAUUUUUUUUUGUAUUUUUGUAAACAAAUUUCAUUAUAGAUAAAUUUAAGUAAUAAAGAAAAUUUGAUUCUA
Molecule: long non-coding RNA, 2328 nt
Organism: Brassica napus (rape)
Lineage: Eukaryota; Viridiplantae; Streptophyta; Magnoliopsida; Brassicales; Brassicaceae
Exons: 2
Source: RefSeq, a predicted model, not a curated record